Pan troglodytes (chimpanzee) is the source of this 90-nucleotide microRNA precursor. It matches the Rfam family "mir-663 microRNA precursor family". Lineage: Eukaryota; Metazoa; Chordata; Mammalia; Primates; Hominidae. The record is from Rfam.
CCGUCCGGCUUCCUAGGCGGGGUGCCACGGGACCUCCCUCGUAUCUGUGGCGGUGGGAUUCCGUGGCCAUGUUUUCCUGGUGGCCUGGCU